UCCAGAGAAGUGGGAAUCUUAAGCUUGAAAGACUCCUGAGGCAAAUGGUAUUUCAAUCUCAUUGAAAUCCAGCGAGGCACCAAGCACUGAACAAAAGCCCCACAGAAAUUACAGAAGAAAUAACAGGAGAGACUUGAAAUCACCUGAAUCAAAAGGAGUUCUUAUCCUGCCCUGCAGAUAGGAAUUAAGGCUGAUUGGGAUAGUAGUCACAUACUAUUUGUGCUAGUAGUACUCUGAAACAAAGAAUGAUGAGGACUGGAACUUGCAGAUUCAGACAGGAACUCCUCUGCAGAAGUGUUCUCAAGCUUUGGCUGCUCAGCAAGCACUUCUGGCCUGCCCAGUCCUGUCCUGCUCUGUGCAUCCUCCAGACCAGCAACCAGCAGGGCAGGGCAGUGACCUCUUCCUGAUAUGGAUGUGAAUGUAACUCUCCUUUAGGACAACAGGGCAUGGGAUACA
Oenanthe melanoleuca is the source of this 456-nucleotide long non-coding RNA. RefSeq lists it as uncharacterized. The transcript is spliced from 3 exons. The record is from RefSeq and is a predicted model, not a curated record. Lineage: Eukaryota; Metazoa; Chordata; Aves; Passeriformes; Muscicapidae.